CCUAGAGUUGUAGGCUUUGCCUGCUAUCUCUUACCCAUGUCUUUUGAGUACCUUCGUUUCCUCGGCGGGUCCGCCCGCCGAUUGGACAACAUUUAAACCCUUUGUAGUUGCAAUCAGCGUCUGAAAAAACUUAAUAGUUA
RNAcentral lists this unclassified non-coding RNA (140 nucleotides) under uncultured Ascomycota. RNAcentral describes it as "sequence contains ITS1". Lineage: Eukaryota; Fungi; Ascomycota. The record is from RNAcentral.